UGACUGAAUACAUGUUUGUUUUAUUUGUCUAUAUCCUAGAUUCGCAGCUGGACACAUCCUUCUACACUGUAUGCAAACAUGCAACAUCAUUACACACAGUACAAGGAGUCAGACUGGCAUAUGAGGAGCAAAGGAACCCAGGCAGUAGCAUCAUUUCACAAUGUUUCCAUCAUCAUCAUCAGUGGAUGCCUUUGCCGUCCGUAGCCUGAGAUUUCAGAUUUGCAGCAAAAAAAAAAUGAUUUUCUCAUUUAUUGGAAUGCUGUGCAGGUAUUUGUACCUUGCAGCCAUCCAUUACAAUGUCACCAAGCCGUAACAAAAGCAGGAGAGGGAAAGUACAAGGCUAUGUUCCCAAAACACACAAGUGACAUACCUUAUGUGGAGGAUGUGAUCAGGCUUGUGUUUGAUGAGGUAUUUGAAGAUAAGCUGAAGGAAACCCCGAUUCCAAUGGACCUGGCAUCACAGUUUGAGAGACCUUCAAAGGAGGACGUGAUUGCAUGCCAUCUUCAGUGCAGGGGUCGUCGAAAGCCAAAAUUGUGACCGAUCUGAUCAGGAAGCUCCAAGCGUAUCUGGAGAACAACACACGACAGGAUGAUAACCUUAUAGUGUCGUCUUAGAUAGCACCAGCUGACAAAGCUUUGAUAUGCCAUUUAUCUGAAUAGAUAGCUGUAAGAAAUGAAUUGAACAAUUUUUGAAACAAGAGCACAAUAUGGGUACUAAAGUAUGUUUAUUUGUAUAUUGUUUAACAUUUAAAUAUAUAUUUGUAAUAAAUAAAAAAAACUUUUGACUGACUAUUAUAUUUUCUUUAAAGUUGCAUCUUUUGUUCUUUUGGGUACUUUGUUACUAUAAUGAUACUUUAGUGUUAUUGGUUUAAAAAUGUAAUAAAACUUA
Paramisgurnus dabryanus is the source of this 888-nucleotide long non-coding RNA. RefSeq lists it as uncharacterized. Lineage: Eukaryota; Metazoa; Chordata; Actinopteri; Cypriniformes; Cobitidae. The record is from RefSeq and is a predicted model, not a curated record.